Molecule: ribosomal RNA, 108 nt
Filed under: Leptosomus discolor (cuckoo roller)
Lineage: Eukaryota; Metazoa; Chordata; Aves; Leptosomiformes; Leptosomidae
Source: RNAcentral
GCUUGUGGCCUUACCACUGUGAACACACCUGACCUCUGAAUCUAACAGCUUGGGGGCUGGUUAGUACUUGGAUGGGAAACCACUUAGGAAUACUGGGUGCUGUAGCCU